RNAcentral lists this long non-coding RNA (17045 nucleotides) under Vigna radiata. RNAcentral describes it as "long non-coding RNA (VRAD_LNC001430)". The record is from RNAcentral. Lineage: Eukaryota; Viridiplantae; Streptophyta; Magnoliopsida; Fabales; Fabaceae.
UACAGGUACACGGAUAAUCAAAAAACAAAUGAAUGCUAAGAAAAUGAUCACAUUUUAGAACUUCAUAAUAUCUUGAUAAUCUAUCAGAGCAAUUGCUAUGGUAAUUGUGGAACAACUAGUGGUCUAUAAAAACCAAAACUAAUGUUUGUAUAAAAAGAAUAUUCAAGCACUCAAGUAGAAAUUUGUUCAACUCAUCUGGGUCAAAUAAUUACUGUAAGUGCCCUUCCCUUCUGUAUAAUUAUACCAUACUGAAGAUUCAUUGAAGCAUGCUAACACCACACGACAGGUAAACUGCAAUACGAAAUUAACUCAACUUCAUUGAUGCAAAUUUUUCUGCAAGAUCCAUAGCCUCGUUAACGUGUGCUGCAUCUGUACCCUGAAAAAAGAUAAGGGUACACAUAUCAGUAAAUAUCAAAUGGAACGCACAAUGCAUACCAAAAAUUCUCCUAAUUGAUGAACAUUUGUCUUCAGCUGUGGAAAAUAUUCCCAGUACUGAUGGCUGUCGGCAUACAAAAUUCAAAGUGACCAAAUUCUAUUUGGACCAAAGGAUUUCAAACUAUAUAAAAUUAUAACGACUCCAUAAAUAAGUCAGGUAGCUUCGAAUAGAUAGCCUAGUUUUAAAAUAGUGAGACUGACACUUGAAUUUUCAAAAAACUAGUUUUAUUUUGGCCAGCGUUUGAGUUCAAAUCAAAUCCAACAAAAAGUUCCAUUAUUUUUCUCUAUCCUCUUCUCCAAAUACGUUUUUAGAGAAGAGUAAUCAAUUUCAACAAAACUAUAACUAAUAUUACAUCAACUCAAUUCAAAAAAAAAGAAAAAAAACUGGACCAGUUUAGAAUAAUUUUAAACCAAUUCAAAUUUGCAAUUUGCAUAUACAGUACAUUUCUGAACCUACUUUAUAAACUAACAAAUUUCAAUUGCUCUUAGGAUUGUUGGAAUAAGUUGUGAUAUAACAACUAAUAAAAACAAUUUCAUGACCACACCGAUCAUAACUAAACAAUAAACAAUUAAAACCCACGACAUCUUGAGCAUUAUCCUAGAACAUCAGCUACUUAUGUGCAGAGAUUAAAGUAAUUAGUCAAUAACUAACCUGACCCGUUGCAAGACCACCUUUUCCUUUACCACAUCUCCCUUUUAGAGGCCCCAACGCAUUACUCAGCCACUCUGCCACAUCCAGCUUACCUUUAUCUCCUUUCUCUGGCACCCCAGCACAAAUUACAGCCUUGUUUGUAGAUUCAUCCGUGCUAAAAACCAUCACAGAUAAACCCUAUUUAACAUCAAGCAUCAUUAAAAGUUAGUGUUUGAUUUUAACAGAAAACUUAAAUAACAUGAAUAUGACAUUUCACAAAACAUAUUCAUCCAUACGAUGACAACUACUGAAUGGCGCCAGAAUUAAAAUCAGCAAUUACCUUUUGGUCCAUAACUUUUGUAACAGCCUCACGAACUGCAGCCACAUCCAGACCAACAUCAACACGAGAUAUGCAAAAGGUUUUCCCGUUAGAAGCAGCAAGCUCAGCUUUCUCAGCUGUAAUAUUCACAGCUUUACGCUUGUUUUCCUCAGCAAUCUGCUUUUGUGCUUUUCUCACUUGGUCCUACAAGAAAUAUGAUUAUUAAAAUAUAUCACUAAAUGCAUUAGAAAAUUGAACAACAAGAAAUAAAAAACAAUAGUUAAACAGGAAAAAGGAAAAAUGCCUGCAAAUAUAUUCUACAUAUAUAUAAUACCUGAAGUCGGGCUAUCUUUGAUUUGAUGUCAGCUUUCUUGGCAGCAGGAAUUGAUAUCGUUUCAACAUUGUUUUUCAAAGAUGAAACUUUCUGUUAAGGGAAAGAGAAAAUCAGGUGACUACAAUUCUGGAAGGGAAAGAUAUGUAUGCAACAUAUCCAUAAUCUAUCUGUUAGAAAAAUCGUCGUUGAUAACAAAGAAAGAGAAAAGGAGAUCAAGUGACAAUCAUGUGAAAGAGGGCAUGCACUAACUUCAGUUGUUAGGCUCCCAACUAUGGUGUUUAUAUAUUCAUAUAAUACUAAUGGCAUGACGGUGGAUCAAGACAGACAAAUCAGUACACAACUACAUAUUCUAGCUGCCCAAAAUGAGACAAAAAUAAAGCAAAACCUUAUUAGAAUACAUUAAAGCCCAGUCUAGUAGUAUCAUUACCAUUAUAGCAGCACAAACUCCCAUCUUCCUCCAAGGCUAAAAAGAAAGGGGAACUUUCAAUGCAUAAUAAAUGUAUUUAUCAGUUGUUCUGUUAGUUUAGUAAUUCAAUCAACACUUCAUGUUCAUGGUCUGAAGUAUUUCCAAAUUUCCAAUAUACUGAAUAAGCUCCAUUAGGCCUUCAUAUUGGGUUCAAAACUAGGAAUUUUUAUACACCCAACAUCUAGUUUGUAACUAUCCUUAAAACAAGCAUAUAUAAUCCCCAAUUUGGUAGCUGGUUCAGCUAGUUGUAUGCUAGUACUGUUUUCCCAUCUUCGGUUAUUAGAUGUCAUGGAGCCAAACAUUUCGACUUGUUGAAUUGGCCAACUAACUAGAAUAGAAAGAAAAAAGUACAAGCCUAAUUUUCCAAAAAAUCUUAUAUGAAUAGAAACCCAAUACCAACCUCUUCCAACAAACUUCCAUCUAACUUAGCUGCUUCAUCUACUUGCUGCUCCAAUUCAUCNGCCACUUUCAUUGCAUCAUAAGCANGAUCAGUUGUGACAGCUGUUAUUCUGCGUAUGCCUUUUGCAAUGCCCUCCUCAGAUAAAAGUGCAAAAGCUUUUGCCUCUCGUGUAUUUGAAAUAUGGGUGCCUAGAUCAUCAACUAAAAAUGAAGAGCCUCGAAUAAUAAAGAGAAAAAAGACCUUCAAAAAAACUUUGCUACAAUAUUCACCUCCACAUAAUUCUGCUGAAAUAGAUAACCAUUUUUCAUUGUCAGGGUCAGCAAGAAGAUCCUCAACUUUUUGUCCAAUUGACACAACUCUAACAGGAUCGGGAUAGACCUACACAAAGGCAAAAUAUUGAGGAACAUGAUCCAAGAUAAAAACUGUAAGACCCUAGAAAAUUUAAUCAAGUAGAAUAAUAAAAAUGAUGGGUUAAGUUGAAGUUAUAAUUUUUGGGAUGAGUAAAAUGAUCAAACUAGUUAUAUAGCUUAUUUGAUUAGAAUACUUGGGUAACAUAGCAAAGGCAUGAAUAACAAUCCUAGUAAGGGGAGCUACCAACUUUUGUGUUUUGUUUUUAUUAUUAUUAUCUUGUUUUUGUGUCCAAAGUAUGGAAUGAAAUUGUGGUUUGACAGUUUAUGGCAUAUGGAGUUUAUGCAUCUUUUUAAUACCAUUAUGUGCGGCAUGUUCUCAUUUGUCUGGCAUCUGCAGUGUUUUAUGGAUUGGUGAGUGUUGUUUUGCUUAAAGUUAUAUAUAAGUAUAUAACAUUUUAUGAUACCUUGGCAAAUUGCAGUUUUCCUUUUUCUUCAUAUUUGUGAUUGCGAUUAGGUAUUAUAAUGUAUAAUUCAUAUUAAAAUUAAAGUUGUUAUGGUUUGAUGUGUUGGCAAGGAACUGCAGCUUUGGCUUUAUUAUAAAUAAAAUUUUGGUUUGGGUUUUUUCAAAACUACAAGGAAUGGCAGACACAAAUUUUACGUGGUUGGUGAUCUUUUUUAUAGAUGUCUUGGCAUUGUAGAUAAAUUUUUGGGUUUGGUGCCUGAUUAAUAUAUAUUGCUUGGGCCGUGACUAAAUUGUGGGUUGCCAUGGAUAGUAGGAGGUUUGAUAGGUACGGUGAAUAAAUAGUUAUAAAAGGUUUUGCUAGCAUGUUAUAUAUAAUAUAGAUUCCAAUAUUUUAUAAUAUUGUUAGGAUAUUGAUUCUAAAAUUAUAUAAUAUUGUUAAUAUAGUCUAUAUAAAUAUAUAUAUAUAUAUAUAUAUAUAUAUAUAUAUAUAUAUAUAUAUAUAUAUAUAUAUAUCACAUAUGAUACAGAAAUUUUAAUAUUUAUAUUGGUGGAUUUUAGUAUUUUAAGUGAUGGUUGCAGAACCUAUAUUUAUAUAUAUAGUAAAUUUAAGGUAAUUUUAUGAGAAAUCGGAUGUUUUAUUUUGUUUUAGUUUAUUUCAUUGAAAAUAUGUGUUGGUUGUUGGAAUGAGAAUGUGAUGUGUCUCGGGAAGAGAUAGGGGACUUUGCUCAUAAGACUCUCUAGGAGAGCGGUGGAUCGUGAAGACUCCACCCUCGAAGAUGAGGGAGGAGUGGACUCCGUUCAUAAGACUGUUGUUGGACAUGAGGAGUUUUAGCUCCACAGGAGCUAAUGACCCGUAAACUUUGCAUGUGGUACAACUUGUGAACUUCGCCAGCAAGUCUGUCCAAGAAAGCAAUGGAAAGUGAACUUUGUUUGUAAGACUUUGGAGCAAGGAGGAGUUAUAGCUCUUUUAGUGAGUUACAAUUGAGAACCUAAUAUUUGCUUAGUUCACAGAGAACGAAAGGUUGAAAACUCUUCGAGAGGGUGUAACUGCUAUGAAAGUAGUUUAUCAGCCUUUAUGAGUCGAUGUCUUGAAUUGAGACCAUUUGUGUGUAGACCUGGGGUGUGAGAUCACAAAUGAUUCCAUUGUUGCUUUGGUAAGAUGUUUUGAGCUAGGAUAUGAUCAUGAGUUGGGUUAGAAGGUUGGUUGAGGGAUAUGACAUGAUUUUUAUAGUGUUUAGUUGUUAAUUGUGAUUGUAAGAUUGAUUGUUCGUGUGUUAGUUAGCCAUUGUUUUAUUUGGUAGUUUUCACCUGCGAUGAUCAUUUUUAUAUGAGAACAAAUCAUCAUAUAAGUAUUAAGAAAGAUGCAAAACACUAAGGAGAGUAGUCAAUAUCAAGAGAUGUUUCAGAUAAAGUUUUAAUCUUAGGCUCUUCCUUUAUAAUAAAGUCAGUUUGUGAUUGAGAUUUUCAAUAAAAUAGAAAUGAAGUUUUAAUUUAAAUUAUGUAAUUUGUGUUAGUUAUAGAUUUUAGUAAGCGAAAAAUGGAGGUGUUACAAAGACAACCAAAAACUGUGAAAUCACAUUACUCACUUCACCAAAAACAGCUCGUAAACCAUUGAUACGCUUGGCUUCGGCAAGAGUUGCUUCCUUUGCACUUACAUCCAAUUCAGCUUUAAUUUGUUCAUUAACAAUUGCCUCAAUUCUCCUUAAAUUGUCGGUGUCAACAGGCUUGCCUAUCAUUAAAGCUUAGUAAACAGCAAUUCUUUAUACUUACAAUAAUCUAAACAGUCCAAUUGAACAAACUUUACCAUGAGAAAAGUCGAAUCUCAAUUUUUCAGGUAGAACAAUGGAUCCUUUCUGGUCAACAUGAUUGCCAAGUACUUCCUGCAUUCAACAUAGAAAAUUUAAGCAAGCACUCAGAUAAGUAAGAGGAAUGACACGUCUUCCUUCAGUGGCCUAUAUCAGCAUACCCUAAGAGCAAAGUUUAACAUGUGCGUGCAGGUAUGGUUAGGGGCUAUGAGGGCACGUCUUCCAUAGUCAACCUGAAAAAGUUAUGAAAUAUACAAAAUAAAUUAGGAACACAGGUGAGAGAAAAGUACUGAAAGAUAACCAGAAAAAAAGUGGAGGUAUUUGAAGUCAGGGAAAGUAAACAUAUAAUCAAGGAGAAGUUGGAGUCAAGGAGAAAUAAUAAAAGCAAAAAGUAAAAAAAAAUAUAAAUAUAUAGACCUUGCAUACUACUCUGUCACCAACAGAGACACCAGUUCCAUUACCAAUGUGAAGAAUAAAACCUCCGUAAACUUGAGUAUUAUGCACUUGAAAUGAACCAAUUGUACCCUCAAGUGAUCCAGUAUCAAAAAUCUGCAUCCGUAAUAAAAGGAGAGUGCAUCACUUCAAUUGAACUAACAAAUUCAACUGGUAGAUUAUUUUAUUUUCAGUCCCUGUUUUCAUGGCAGUUGGCUAAUUCCAGGCAUAUUUGCUUUAUAUUUCCCGUUAGCAAAAUACAUCAAAAUAUCAUGUUCUACACAUUAUACCUCUGACCAUUUUUAUUCUAUUGUUUCAUACGUCAAAGUCAUUAAUGUUAAAAUGUUUCUCUUCCAGUUUUUCUACUAUAAUAUGCUCACGCAUACAAAUAAAACUAUAACAAAAUAUAACAAUUUAUUUAAAGGCCUGAUACCUGACCACCUUGCUCAGCAUAGAAGCUUGUAGAUUCCAGAACUAAACCAACAUCCUCACCAGUAUUAACGGUAUCAACAAACUCAGAACCAGUAUAUAUUGCUUGUACCACACUCUCAUGGUCCUAUGAUAAGAAAUCGUGAAGAAUAGAAGUUUAAUCAAAGAAAAAAGGUUGGGGGCAAGAGAACAAAUAGUAGAAACUCCUCCAUUCAGUAGUUUUUGUUAACAAAAUUACCUUGAACCAAGCAUAUUUGAAGCUAUCAUCUGUUGGGGCUAUGCCCCUUUUGUGCAAUGCAGAGGUAGCAUCAGCAUCCAUGACAAUGGCCCCACCAGCUUGCUGACAAUAACAAAAGAAAGUUUGGGAGAAGCAGAAAAAAGAAAAGAUGAGUGGUAAUAUCAGCCAAGGAUUAGUUUAUUUAUCCUUUAAAUAUAAGGGGUGUUUUUGAAACAAAUAAGAAACUUAUGCACAGAAAAGAGGCAUUCAAGCAAUUAAGAUACCUUUGUUUGAGCACUUCUGGAUCUCUCUCUUGCAGCCUCCAUUGCCCUAUCAAAACCUUUAACAUCAACAACUAAUCCCUUUUCUUCAGCCAUCAGCUGAUACAACAGGAAAUUGUUAGGAAAAAAAAAAAAAGGGGGUAUAACAUAGACUUUCAGUUCCAUACAGCAUUAAAGUGAACCAACCCACCUACCUGAGUGAGAUCUAAUGGGAAUCCAUAUGUAUCCCACAAGACAAAUGCUUCCUAUAAUCAAGAGACAACUGCAUGAGAAAUAUCCCAUAGGUCUAUUGAAAACAACUUAUUGAAUUAUAAAAUCAACAGGUCAACACUCGUGUAUUUGUGCAUUAUUACGAAUGUGAUUUUAACACAAACAACAAAUCUUUAUGAUAAAAUUAAAGGACUUAAUGGUUAUGGAUAAAAACAACAGAAUUUUUAAGUUGAAAUGAAGAGAAACUAAUUUAAAUCACUUUCCCAAAGACAGUUAAAAAAUAUGACAACAAAAAAAUUUCAGAGCCAAGUGAAAUUUCACAAACAUAUUUGUUUGCUUGAAUUUUAAAUAUACGGCAUAUAUAUGCAAAUACAUAUUGACUAAAAGGAAACUGAAAAUAACAGGUUCUACUUGCCUCCCCACUCAGUGUCUUUCCCUGAACAUGUUGAACAGCUGUCUCAAAUUUCUCGAUACCCUGGAAAAGGAAAAACAUCAGGUUUUCUUAUACUCUUUAUAUGUAUAACAUGAAAAAGAAUAUGACAAAAACCAUCUAGUGCAACGAAUAUAGUACACAAGAAUCAAAACUAAUUUGAGAAAUGGCUGUCAUUAAGAUUGACAAGUGAUAAUCCAUAAAUAUACAUUAGCAUAUGCCUAUCGUCACCUUAAUUAAGGUUCUUCCAAAACUUUCCUCCUCCUCUUCAAUUACAUUCCGAAUGUGACUUUCCUGUUGUUUUAGCUCAGGGAAAACAUCACCCAUCAAAUUCACCACCACACUUACAAGCCUGGGAUUCAGUAAAAAUGAGGACAGAACAUUACAGAUAGAAUGUAUGUUCGCAUAUUUAUACAAACAAAGAAUUACCUGAGGACAAACUCAGCAACAAUUCCAGUAAAGAGAAGUACACAAUUUAGAAAAAAUAAAUAAAGGUGAAAGAAUUUAUUUAAGAAAGAAUGUCAUGGAAAAUGAAAGAAAAACACAGUAGAGAACAGAAAAUUUUAUUACAAAAAAAUCAAUUUACAACGAAAAAAUAUUUACACAUACACGUAAUUAAUACAUUCCCAAACAAUCUAACAGAUUCCCACUACUGUCACUGAAUAACCAACAGCUGGUGGUUAGAACAACCUGUCUGGAUAUCGCUGAAGGUUAAACAUGCAGUACAACUGAAUUAUUACCCAACCUAACUUGAUAAAAACCUAGGAAAAACCACACCACAAAAAUUAGUUGUUGUAGUUGCUGAAACCAAAGUCCUAUAAACUUCACUCUAAAAUCUCAUACUUCCAAAGUCCUAUAAACUCACUCUAAAAUCUCAUACUUCCAGUGUCGGACUCGAGCCCCAUACACAGCAAUAGAAUCACCAUGAUCUACAGCAGGCUAUCUAUGAACUGAUUUGACUAGUCUCAGUCUAACACUACAAUGCUAACACAGAAGAUAGCUGUUGUAGUUGAAAAAUCCAAGGCCCAAUAAACCCCACACUAACGAUACAUUCAUCAAGCCAGUGUAUCCAUGUCAAGAACAUAUCAGACAAGGAUACAUUUAGAUACGUAUUCUUUGGAGUUCAUCAAGCCAGUGUAUCCAUGUNNNNNNNNNNNNNNNNNNNNNNNNNNNNNNNNNNNNNNNNNNNNNNNNNNNNNNNNNNNNNNNNNNNNNNNNNNNNNNNNNNNNNNNNNNNNNNNNNNNNNNNNNNNNNNNNNNNNNNNNNNNNNNNNNNNNNNNNNNNNNNNNNNNNNNNNNNNNNNNNNNNNNNNNNNNNNNNNNNNNNNNNNNNNNNNNNNNNNNNNNNNNNNNNNNNNNNNNNNNNNNNNNNNNNNNNNNNNNNNNNNNNNNNNNNNNNNNNNNNNNNNNNNNNNNNNNNNNNNNNNNNNNNNNNNNNNNNNNNNNNNNNNNNNNNNNNNNNNNNNNNNNNNNNNNNNNNNNNNNNNNNNNNNNNNNNNNNNNNNNNNNNNNNNNNNNNNNNNNNNNNNNNNNNNNNNNNNNNNNNNNNNNNNNNNNNNNNNNNNNNNNNNNNNNNNNNNNNNNNNNNNNNNNNNNNNNNNNNNNNNNNNNNNNNNNNNNNNNNNNNNNNNNNNNNNNNNNNNNNNNNNNNNNNNNNNNNNNNNNNNNNNNNNNNNNNNNNNNNNNNNNNNNNNNNNNNNNNNNNNNNNNNNNNNNNNNNNNNNNNNNNNNNNNNNNNNNNNNNNNNNNNNNNNNNNNNNNNNNNNNNNNNNNNNNNNNNNNNNNNAUAUAUAUAUAUAUAUAUAUAUAUAUAUAUAUAUAUAUAUAUAUAUAUAUAUAUAUAUAUUUUAACGUAUAUUAUCCUAUGUUUUUUAACAUGAAAUGAAUGGCCUUGUUAGACAUAUGUUUUGUAUCCAAUACUUGUAUCAUAUGGUGCACCAUAGAUGGAAACAAAGAUUUACAUCAAGAUUUAGGCAACAGAUUAAAGUUGUUAACCAUUAUGCAUACCCACUGAAAAAUCCCUCUUUAGCUUUUAGCACUUCUCGUCCAUACCGCACAGCUCGACGAAGUAUUCGUCUUAGAACAUACUCACGGCCAUCAUUACCUUAAAAUAAAUGGAAAUCAGUCAAAUAGUAGAAGUUUUUUAGUUUAACACGGGUCUACGUGAUGCCCAAACAGACUAAAUGUUUUACAGCUAGUAGUACAGAUAUAUAAUAAUCAAAAAGUCAAAAACCUAAAUAGAUUGGAUAAGGGAAUUUAUUUUUCAUAAUGCAGCUACAAACAGAGUUAAAGUUAAAACUGUCAAUGAAGAACAGGCCUCCCUCAAGGUAUGAAAGGGAAAAGACAAAAAAAAUUGAUGUCACUUAAAGCUGCUAUUUCGUGACUUGCAAUUUCAAUGAAAAUACCCGUUCUAUAAUAUCAUACCAGGACGAGACCCGUCAGCAAUGGCAAAUGAAAGAGUUCUGAUAUGAUCUGCAACAACCCUGUAUGCCAUGUCAACUUUAUCUACAUCAUCUGCUCCAACUUUACCAGAAUAUGGUCUGGCACCAGUCGCCUGUAAAUGGGUUACACAAAAGCAAAAUUAUAAAUCAAACAGGUUACAGUCACAAACAAUAAUUUAAAUACAAGUACUAAAAGAAAACAAAUAAAACAUUAACAAGGAGAAUCAUUCACAUAGAAAUUUAAAAAACACAUGCAAAUCUAAAUGCAAAUUCAUAAAAGCAUUCUUAGGAUUUUAAAACAGCACAUGGAAAUGCAUUCCAUGACACAAUGGAAAUCUUAUAUGUAAGAACACAUAUUUCUGUAGGAACCAUAAGUAUUUGAAAAUAGCAAGUAAAAUCAACAAUUUGCAAAUGUAGGUUAUCUGAGGUCAAAAUAGAUAUUUAUAUAAAUAGACAUUUGAACUUAAGGAGAUGUCCAAUGGUAUUAGAUAUCAAGGCAGCUUGAGGAAUAAAGUCGGUUUAUCCAAAUGACCUAGUUCUGCCACAAGGUGCACAAACAGAAAAAACAAGAAGAAGAAAAAAACAAUUUAAUGUCAUUCAGCUUACAGUGAUUUAUUUUUUGCAUUCAUUGUAGGCAAAGACAGUAAAAACUUUAAAAAAACACUAUGGACAAUGGGUACUAGCCCGACAAUCAACAAUAAUCCUGGUCAACAUUUUAUUCCAUGUUAAUUGUUAUAGACUUAUAACAAUUACAUAUUUAAAUAUUCCAGUAGAACUUCUUUAUACAAACGGAUAACUAGGGUUCAGAUAGGUUAGGAAAUGCUCUCUCCACUGGGUACCAUGUGUACACAUUCUGCUAUAAAAGUGAUAUGUGAUACUACAUGCUGAAUACCAUCAAACACAAGGGAAAUAUAAUAAACUCUAAUGCCUUCAUCAAAAUACCUUCUGAAUAACAUCAAAGAUUGGCAUGAAGACGUCAGUGUCAUAAUUGCUCAUUUUAUUUUGUAGUAUAGAGGUCAGUCGUUCAAAACCCAUGCCCGUAUCAACAUGCUUUGCUGGAAGCGGUUUAAGAGAGCCAUCAGCCUCCCUAUUGAACUGUUACCAGGUAAACAAAUAGUCAAAUUCAUACAGAUCCAUGGUGAACCAACUAAGCAAAGUACAUAAAUGAGAGGACAAAAAUUAUUGAUCUCUGUAAAUCAUUUUAGUACCUGAAUAAAGACAAGGUUCCAUAUCUCAAUGCAAGUAGGAUCAUCGUUAUUUACCAAUGAUGCAGCAUCACGGUUACCAAUUCUGUCAAAAUGUAUUUCAGUGCAAGGUCCACAAGGACCAGUAUCACCCAUUUCCCAGAAAUUGUCCUAUCCAAAGAUACAGAUUUAGUAAGAUAUGCAGGUUCAGUUCAGACAGAAAUUACAGUAAAGUACUAAAUUUCAAUUUUGUAUGCCAUAUAAUUCUUAUGAAAAAAAGUUGCAUUCUAAUUGUUUUCCUAGAGGAAAGGUGAAAUGGUCCCAGCAUCCAUUUGAGAAGCCCAAAUAAUCUUUUAAUUGACAGUAUAAUUUCGAUUAUUACUCACUGAUAACUACCUGCGGUCACAAUGUUACCCAUUAAGUAUGAAAAAUAAUUUAUCAUCACAUUAUAAAAAUAGAGCAAUAGGUUGUCUGUGAAAUAACUCUGAUGCUAGAAUAAAAUAAUGCAUAUUGUUUGCUACAAUAUUAAUUAUACUUUGUGAUUCUGUUUCACAUUUUAAUUUAAGACGUGGUGAAAGCAUACCUUACAUCCAAAAGGAAGCACACGUCCAGGAGGCAAAAACUUCAGCCAUAUAUCUCUAGCCUCAAAAUCAGGGGCAAGACCAGCCUUGUCAUCCCCACCAAAAUAUGUGGCAUACAAGCGAUCUGAAGGUAACUUGUAAACCUGAAGCACAAAAAAGUUCAUGAUUUAAACUUAAAAAGAGCAAAAGUUAUGGAUUAUAUAAAUCAAGAAGUCAAAUGACCACUAACUUCCCAAUUUAGUAAUGUGGCACAAUACCAUACAUACAAAUUAAUCAUUCCAACUUAUUUUUUUCAUAGGAUGUGAUUAUUAAGUCAUCCAUAAUAAGCAAGUGGUAGAGGUACCUAAAUGUGAUACCCAAUGUCAAGAUUGCAGUUAACAAUUGAACACUAACAAAAUCCUUCAUAAUGUGAUACUCAAUGCAUUAAUAGUUGGCAUGGUGCAAUUGAUGGAGUGGAAGGUCUAAGUGCUGUUGACAGUGAUGGAAAAAUUGCUAAAUGAAAGUUUAACUGAAGACCAACUUACUACCAUAUGAAACUCACAAAUUAAGCAAACACAAAAGACCCAAUAAUAUAAACCAACCUAUAUGGCACAGGAUGGUAGCUAAAGUUAAUUACUAGCUGCUAGUGAUUAGAUAUCAUUCUCAUGGACAAAGCACUUGGCAUAGUGAUCUAACAUAAUAUCAAUGUUUACAACAAAGAGGAUAUAAUUCAAGAUGCAAAAUAUGAAGUUCAACCAAUAAAGCAUACUUCGGUUAGAAGCUCCCACGCCCAGCUGAUGGCUUCUACUUUAAAGUAAUUCCCGAACGACCAAUUUCCCAACAUCUCAAAGAAGGUGUGAUGGUAGGUGUCCUUCCCUACAUCAUCAAGAUCAUUGUGUUUACCACCCGCUCGAAUGCACUUUUGUGUGUUGCAAGCACGAGACAGUUUACUCAAGGCAGUGUUGGGAUCCGCGGUACCCAAAAAAAUUGGCUUGAACUGGUUCAUACCUAUCAUCACAUCACAAAUAAACCUUAACACCAUAAAUUUUUCCCGCGAAUCAAAUAACGCAGUGUUAUUAACUUACUAUUAUGGCCAAUAUAUCUAUCAACAAACAUGUCUUCACUACAAAAACCUUUUUAACACCUACCAUAUCCCUCUCCUUCUCUUCUCUCACAAUGAAAAAUGUUAACAAGCAUCACUUCAUAUUUCAAGUCAAAACCUUUAACGCCUCCACGACCAUUCCCAAUUUCAAAUAUAGUAUGGCACAAGUUGACUUGAAGAAAAAUCCAUACACAUAAUCACUCAUCGCAAAACAUACCAGCGUUGGCGAAGAGAAGAGUGGGGUCAUUGAAGGGAACGACGGGGCUGGACUUCCAGUUGACGUGAUUCUUGCCUUCGAAGAAACCCAUGAAAGUGUCCCUCACGCGCUUCGCCGGCCACUCCACAUGCUGAGUCUCAGCUCCAGGCAUGGCUGCGACGGGAGACGACGGCGAAUGAAGAGAUCUAGCGGCGCGAAAGGGGAGUGACAGUGGUAGUAGCGGCGGCGGAACAGGGUUACAGUUUCGAAAGGAAAUGAGCAAAGCUCUUACACCAAAUCCUCUUUUCAUUCACUCAUCUAUUAGUGUCUUGGUUUUUUUAACGCUAACAUUUGGAACAGACGAAUAAGUCCACUUCUCCAAAUAUUAUGUAAUAACUAUUUUUUUAAUGAAACUACUAUUGGGCCUUUUUGUUUGGUCAACUACUCACAUUACAGACCCAAUUUUGCCGGCCGGCCCAAGUUUUUUGAGACGAUAAUUUGUUUAUGGGGGUUACUCCAUGUACCUCCCCAAUUCUAACCCCCACCCCCCAUUCCAUUUUUAAGAUUUGUUUUAUUAGUUUACUUUUUAUAUUAAUUUUCAGAUAUUUUAAUAAUGGAAUUUAUAUGUUUUGAUGUAUUAUUUUUAAAUAUAUUUUUAACGUAUAAAUGGNAGAGUGAGAGUUGCAGAGAGUGUUUGGAGGAGGAGUGUUUCAAAAGCUUUGGUGGGGGUGGGGGUGGGAAUACGAAGAAGAGGAAUUUGAGUCUGUGUGUUUUGACUGAGACAGACUGUAAAAAGAGUAGGUUAACUUUAGUAAAUAGGUGUAAAACGGUAAAAAUAAAAAAAACAUAAAGAUUAAUUUUGUAUUUAAAAAAAAAUCCAAAAAAAUUGGGGGGGUGGAGGUUGGAAUUGGGGAGGUACAGGGAGUAACUCCCUUUGUUUAUUCUCCGACUAGUGAAGAUUUUUGGAGUUUAAUUAAUGCAAAAAUAUUCCGUCUUAAAAAUGUGAAUAUAUUGACGUUACUUUCCCUCUUUUUAUAAUUAUACCGUUAUAUUAAACAGUGAAUUAUCAGUUAGAGUAAAUCAAACAGUUUUUUUCUUUAUAUUUAAAUAAUUUUAUUUAUUUUUAAAUAUUUUUAAUUGCUUUUUCACAUAACAAUAUUUUUAUUUGUUUUUUUACAUAAAAGUAUUUUAUUUCUAUUUUCAAAUAUUGAAUUUUAUAACCUAUGUAAUAAAAAAAUGUCUUUUCUCUUUUUUUAUUAUUUUUAAUUUUUGUUUCAUUUGAAUCACUUUUAUUUUUUUAAAACAAUUUUUAUUAUUUUUCAACUCUUAAACUAACUUUAUAUUAGCUUUUUUAGAUUUUAAGUCGAUUUAUUUAAUCGUCAAUUAUAUUUUUUUUUUAUUUGAUUGAGUAAUAUAUCAAAUUAUUUCUAAGAGAGAUAUUUCAUUAUUUUUAUUUUUGUUUUAUAUUUGUAUGUGUUAUUUAUUUGUAUAUUGUGAAAUAAUGUUGUGACAACUUUUAAUGAGACUACUCUUAUUUUCCAAUUAAUUGUCAUAAGUGUAAUUUCAUCAUUAUAAUUAUAUACAUAUAUUUUAUUAUCAUCUAAUGAAGUUAAAAAAAAUAAAAGACAUGUGUAAUUUAAAUUAUUAUUAUUUUAAUCCUUGUUUUUCUUGUAGAACAUGAUUUAACUUAUAUGUUAUAAUUUUUAUAAGUGCAUAAAAAAUAUUUUAUUAUAAUUUAGACAAAUAAAAUAAAAAGACAUUUAAAAUAGUUUUAAACUUGGUAUACUAAUUCUUUUAUAAUUCUUUAGACAUGUUUUUAAAUUUGAUCUAUCACAAAUUCAAUCAUAUUAGAUUAAAAAAAUUAUAAAUUGUAAAUUUUAGUACGGGUGAAAAAUAAACCUAAUCCACUGAAAACUUGACUCACUCAAAGAAAAAAAAAAAAUACCUCACUUUUAAUUUAAUAAUCCAACCAAAGCCACAAACAAACCUUUCAAUUUUGGGGUAAAACUUUGAUAAUAUUUAGAUUUUAUAUAGAAUUAUGAUUUAGUUAUUUGGUGAAUCAUUUGUGUAGUGUCUAAAAUGGAAAAAAAAAACAAUUUUUUAAAAAUAAAUUUAAACUUUUUUGGAUUUUCCCAUCAACCUCUAAUAGUUCGUGCCAAACUCAAAAUUUUUUAGAUAGCUAAUAAAUGAAAAUAGGAUUCACUUACUAAAUUAUCAAUCCAUAAUAGGUUGGGUCCGAUAGGCCAUUCUGAUAACUUUAAACAGGUGUGGGUAUAUUAGUUGUUUGGUGGGAUCAAAAUUAAAUGAAAAUAUCAUUCACGAUGGGCAUGAAAUUGGAUAGAUGAUGAAUGUUUUAUUUAUGAAUGAAUAUUGAAUAAUGAAACUCAGUAUUCGGUAGUCGUGAUGUCAUCCCUCCUACACCCUACAUACAUAUACACAUGAUGUCAUCCCUCCUACAUACAUAUACACAACGACACACCCCCAUAUACACACACAUACAUCACACAUCACUCGUAUACAGCAUAUACACAGAUAAACUGCAAUACAACAUUAACUCAACCUCAUUGAUGCAAAUUUCUCUGCAAGAUCUAUAGCCUCGUUAACGUGUGCUGCAUCUGUACCCUGAAAAAAAGAUAAGGGUACACAUAUAGUAAAUAUCAAAAGAUAAGGGUACACAUAUCAGUAAAUAUCAAAAGAUAAGGGUACACAUAUAAGUAAAUAUCAAAAGAUAAGGGUACACAUAUAAGUAAAUAUCAAAUGGAACGCACAAUGCAUAUGAGAAAUUCUCCUAAUUGACGAACAUCUGUCUUCACUUGUGAAAAAUAUUCCAAGUAGUGAUGGUUGUCGGCAUACAAAAUUCAAAGUGACCAAACUCUAUUUGGACAAGAGGAUUUCAAACUAUAUAAAAUUAUAAGAUGACUCCAUAAAUAAGUCAGGUAGCUCCGAAACCAUAACCUAGUUUUAAAAUAGUGAGACUGGCACUUGAAUUUUCAAAAAACUAGUUUUACUUUGGCCAGAGUUUAAGUUCAAAUAAAAUCCAACAAAAAGUUCCAUUAUUUUUCUCUAUCCCUCUUCUCCAAAUAAGUUUUAGAAAAGAGAAAUUUAUCUCAAAAACAAAACUAUAACUAAUAUUACAUCAAAUCAAUUACAAAAAGAAAUGGAACAAUUAAGUAAGAGUGGAAGACCCUGAAAGCAGCGUCUGAAUCCGAUGGCAAAAGAGGGAAACGACUUCAUUGAAGUAAACAACGUCGUCGAUGGCACAGGAGAGGCAGAGGAAGAGCACGCAGCACCAGAGGAAGAUGUCAAUGACAUGGAAGAAAAGAAUGAGUAUACUUUCAGGUUCAAAAAUGAAUGAAUACUUUGGACUUUGUCGAUUCUGGCCUUCUACCCUACGAGCGAUUCGAGGGUCUUGAACAGGAAGCUUUUUGCGAUAAAAGAACGAAAAGUAACUGCCAUGUAGGUUACAUUAAAAGGGUCAUGUAGGUUACAUUAAAAUUUAAAACAGAAGGUAGUCAUAUAACUUGCAACUGAGUGCUUACAUUUUCACAUUUUCAUGUACAUUUGUUCUAGGUUAUGGAUAUUAUAUGUAUAAAAAAUAAAGAAUCGUAAGCAUACAAAGAAAAUGGUAAACAAUUAAACUAGUGAUAAGCUAUCAUGUAGAACAGAAAAUUCAGGGAAAAAAGAGGGGGAAAUUGUAAGAAUGAAACUAAUGUAACCUGCAUAUAAAAAAUGGAAACAGCUAUGAGCAAAAAAAAUGCAACAGGCAUAACCACAUAUCUUAAAUUUUCUUCCAAAAUCAUAACACCAAACGUAUUCCUCUAAUAUCCACUCUAUUGUUGGAGAUCAAAACUUGUAAUCUACCCUGUAAUAUAAAAGAAUUAAAGGAAAGUUAUCAACUUCUUUCUGGUGUAGCCUUUGCUUAUGACUGGCAAACUGCUAAAAAUGCAUCAGGAGACUAACAAAAAAUAACGGUAGGCAAUCAACUUCUUUCAUGAUAGCCUUUGCUUACGUAGAAAAAUAAAUAAAAGAAAAGAAAUAAAAUAUUUUUUGCAAUGUGACACAAUGAUGAACUACCAAUUUAUCUUUCAAAGCUUACUUGUUUAUAGAGAAAACCAGACAAACUGCAAACAUAAUAUAUUAUGCACUGCAUGGCAUACCUUUCUUGAUCUCUUGCGCACACCAUGAUAAUCUAUUGCUUCCAUUAUCUCAGCUAUCUUUGACCCGAAAUAUUACUUUCCCUAGCCAUCUUAGAAGGGGCUCUUCACUGCAUUUAGUGAUAUAAAAUAGCAUGAAUCAAACAAACAUGAAAAAAGUAAGUAAGCGCAGUGAGUUAUUUUAUCAUUUGAUACAUUUAGAAUUU